GCGGCAGUUGGGGGAGAGCCGGUAGCCUGUUAAAGAAUGAGGAGCAGUGAUGGAGGACAGGGGGAUCUCUCACCAGUAAAGGAGGUGACCCCCGUCGAAACCAGUUCGGUGAAGUGUGGGAAGCGCUGACACCGGGAGCUGCCGCGGUGGUAGACGCGUGGGUGAGGAGAGACUACAGUCCAGGACUGACAGCGCCUUACCUCUCUCUGCCAGCGCUGAUUGCAUAGGAGGCCAGGAGAGUGAUGGUGUGGAGGGCUGGAGCGCCGGUCAGGCAAGUCGAUCCUCCAAAUUUAGCGGCUGGUAGAAGUAGGGACAGCCUCCCUGAGGAAUCGACGGGGCUAGGCUACAGCACAGACCCAUAGACCCAAAUUCGGUGUGGUAUGACUGGUCUCAACAGGAUUCGAACACGGGAUGCACGCAUUGCAAGCAGACACUGUAACCAUUAUGCCACUGCUGACGACGAUAUGAGCUGGCUCUCCAGGUUGGGACCAGCUAUGACAGAUACCAUCUAAAACUGAUUAAGCAGUGGUAAAUCAAGCAGGUGCUGAAAUAACUGUACACUGGCUGGGACCAGACUAGUACUGAGCGCACUAUGACAGACUGAAACCAGAAGUCCUUCUGCAGGAUAAUACAAAGACCCUAAGAUCUGGAGCCUAGGAACAUAGCUGAUGAGCAAUGCUAUCUGUCAGCACUUCAGGAAACACUUUUUUAGGGACUGAUGGGAUCUGAUUGGUGGGUGGAGACAUGUGUCCCGGGGUUACCUGCAAUUAGAUGACCCAUUCCAAGAUGGCGGUGCCCAGGAGACAGAGACAGUGGGAGAAGACCAGAAGAAGAUGCCAGGCCACGUGUGGCAACACUGAAGCAGGGACAGUGCGGACAAGCAGGAGGACAAUGGACACCCUUGGAACCCAGCAGAAGACCUGCUGACCAGCAGAGAGUUCCUUCUAGGAUAAUCCUAUGGAUUUGACCACGGAGAGAUGAUUCUGAAAAAGACCCUCUCACCAGAUUCACCCAGACAGCAAUAUCACUCGUUAAUCCAUAGCUUCCAAUAAAAUUUAUUAAAAUCUUU
Long non-coding RNA from Pseudophryne corroboree (corroboree frog), 1069 nucleotides. RefSeq lists it as uncharacterized. The record is from RefSeq and is a predicted model, not a curated record. The transcript has 4 exons. Lineage: Eukaryota; Metazoa; Chordata; Amphibia; Anura; Myobatrachidae.